AGCGUUAAAAAAAAAAUGGCCAGGGUGCAGUUAGAUGAACUCAUUUCAUGUAAUGACUGCAACAGUCAUUGAAUGGGAUCAAAACAAAACAGGAAACUGGGACAAAAAGAAGAAAAGGUGUGAAAAAAGGAAGAGGAAAGAAUGGCAUUUUCACCAUCUCCAGGUGGCUGUAUUUUUAGAGAGAGGGGAGGAAGUGAGACAGACGCAGAGUCAACAAAGCAGAGGAAGGAAACAGAUAGCUGAAAACGAGGUGUCGUUUUUGCUGCUGUUGACCAGAGCGCAUGGGAAAGACUAGCAAAAGGCACUAUCAUAGUUCAAGGACACUUUCCAGCCAAGCAAAACCACUUGAAGCAUGAAGACUGGCCAGUGAAGAGGUGUGGCCUGCAGAGAGGGCAAGAUAGAGAGUCAUUGAAGGCCACAUUUGGGCCCCAGGCCUGAGGUUCUAUAGGAUCUACGGGAUCAUCUCUUGUUCAUGAUUCUGUUUGCUGUUCACCAAAUCAGGCUCUGUUGGAAGUAUCACAGGAGACUUACUCGCUUGAUGUUACAGAAGAUGAGGAUUAAGAGAAUCCAAAAGAAGAUGGCAAUGACACCUGUCCCAAUUAAGAUCACAAUCUCCACAUUGGUCCUGUCAUCCGAGCCUACAGGCUUAGGGGGUUGAAGUUAGUAAUAGUACCUUCUACAGAGACACUGGCGGAGGAAUUCACACAACCCUUGGCAUUGCAGACACUGCACAGAUAUCUUCAACCAGCCAUACCUGAGACCUCUUCCACAAGCUUCUCAUCCUUAUACCAGCUGAUGUUUGGAAUGUGUGUGCCAU
Podarcis raffonei (Aeolian wall lizard) is the source of this 817-nucleotide long non-coding RNA. RefSeq lists it as uncharacterized. The record is from RefSeq and is a predicted model, not a curated record. Lineage: Eukaryota; Metazoa; Chordata; Lepidosauria; Squamata; Lacertidae. The transcript is spliced from 4 exons.